Long non-coding RNA from Suricata suricatta (meerkat), 1138 nucleotides. RefSeq lists it as uncharacterized. The record is from RefSeq and is a predicted model, not a curated record. The transcript has 3 exons. Lineage: Eukaryota; Metazoa; Chordata; Mammalia; Carnivora; Herpestidae.
GCUGGGAAACCAAACCUGCGUGUACAAGAUAACAGUCGCCUGGACGCUCGGGCCAGCAGGGUGAUUUGGGCCUGGCGUGUGUGGUUUCCUCGGAAGCCCCACAUGCAGAAGGCGGGACGGGGUUGUGGGGUGGCAGGAGACAGCAUGCCGUGAGGCCUCUCAGGGCUGCGUGCUGACAGGCACCUGCCUGGGCAGAAUGAGGACAAGAGGCGUGUCACAAUGCAGGACUCAGGGAUCAUGCUGGAGGUGAUGAGACCGGGCCGUUUGACGUCUGGGUAAACCCUGGCCAUUAGUGGGGACAGCACUGCCACAGUUCUGAGUGCAAACGGUUAAGCAUCUCAGAGCUGCUACAUCCUGUUGGCUGCACAGCGGGACCUCAUACUGUCGCAGCAUGGGGCUUAUGACCUCCAGGAGCUGACAUUUCACAUACAUACUGAAUGCAUCAGGGAAAAGAAUAUUUAAAAAGUGCUUUCCCACAGUAUAUAAUUAGAGGUGUUUACUGUGGAGUCGGGAGCCCCAAAGUUCGUCAGCAAAAACUCAAGAACUUUUAAGGCUACGUCAGUUACCACCUUCCUCUACUGUAGAGGAAUAAUCAUAAAAUGCUAACCCAGAAGAUGGCCCUGAACAAAGGUUGGUUCAAAAUCUUCACAGAGGGGGAAGCGGAAGGAAAGGAUUAUUCCAUCGUCACUGCGCAAACCAGCGACAGACAGAGCUACACAAAACUCUGUCUUGGUGUGUUGGGCUACGCGGGCCUUGGGUUCACGCUGAAAAGACUGUGCUGUGGGAACGCUCAACACAACAGAUUUUCUCUCCCUGACUUUCUCCACCUGGCCAGAUUACGUCGCACUAAUCCCACAGCAUGUCCUUUGAGGCCCCUGCUCCUGCUAAGUAGACUUCUAGUACAGCUUCCAACAAGAAUAUACAGCCUUCAGGACAUGUCAGAUCCCGGACUGUCCAGUGUCCCAGAAGUCCUUCCACUCUCCCUGGCUCCCUGCUCUCCUACAGCCUACAGGUAAAUCCACCAGAGCCUGUAACAGCACUCUUGGGUUUCCACCAGCAUCUGGACUGUCACUCACCAAAGAAUGAGCUGAUGAAGAGCAAACCAAAGUCAAAAACAUUAAAAUGAUCUCAGAGAGAC